GACGAACGCUGGCGGCGUGCUUAACACAUGCAAGUCGAGCGGUAAGGCCCUUUCGGGGGUACACGAGCGGCGAACGGGUGAGUAACACGUGGGUGACCUGCCCUUAGCUCUGGGAUAAGCCUGGGAAACUGGGUCUAAUACCGGAUAUGACCCCAUAACGCAUGUUGUGGGGUGGAAAGCCUUGUGCGGCUAGGGAUGGCCCGCGGCCUAUCAGCUUGUUGGUGGGGUGAUGGCCUACCAAGGCGACGACGGGUAGCCGGCCUGAGAGGGCGACCGGCCACACUGGGACUGAGACACGGCCCAGACUCCUACGGGAGGCAGCAGUGGGGAAUCUUGCGCAAUGGGCGAAAGCCUGACGCUGCGACGCCGCGUGGGGAUGACGGCCUCGGU
This 390-nucleotide ribosomal RNA is filed under the name uncultured bacterium. RNAcentral's name for it is "bacterial SSU rRNA". It matches the Rfam family "Bacterial small subunit ribosomal RNA", at positions 28 to 423 of the family's 1533-position model. The record is from RNAcentral.